GAUGAACGCUGGCGGCGUGCUUAACACAUGCAAGUCGAACGGAAAGGCCCUGCUUUUGUGGGGUGCUCGAGUGGCGAACGGGUGAGUAACACGCGAGUAACAUGCCCCUGAAUUUGGGAUAACACCAGGAAACUCCGGCUAAUAUCCGAUAGGAGCUCCUGAUGCAUGGGGGGGGUUGGAAAAAUUCGGCGGUUGGGGAUGGACUCGCGGCUUCUCAGCUGGUUGGUGGGGUAGUGGCUUACCAAGGCUUUGACGGGUAGCCGGCGUGGGAGGGUGACCGGCCACAUUGGGACUGAGAUACGGCCCAGACUCCUACGGGAGGCAGCAGUGGGGAAUAUUGCACAAUGGGCGGAAGCCUGAUGCAGCAACGCCGCGUGCGGGAUGACGGCCUUCGGGUUGUAAACCGCUUUCGCCUGUGACGAAGCGUGAGUGACGGUAAUGGGUAAAGAAGCACCGGCUAACUACGUG
Molecule: ribosomal RNA, 468 nt
Filed under: uncultured bacterium
Lineage: Bacteria
Description: partial 16S ribosomal RNA
Rfam family: Bacterial small subunit ribosomal RNA
Source: RNAcentral